GACGAACGCUGGCGGCGUGCUUAACACAUGCAAGUCGAACGGAAAGGCCCUGCUUUUGUGGGGUGCUCGAGUGGCGAACGGGUGAGUAACACGUGAGUAACCUGCCCUUGACUUUGGGAUAACUUCAGGAAACUGGGGCUAAUACCGGAUAGGAGCUCCUGCUGCAUGGUGGGGGUUGGAAAGUUUCGGCGGUUGGGGAUGGACUCGCGGCUUAUCAGCUUGUUGGUGGGGUAGUGGCUUACCAAGGCUUUGACGGGUAGCCGGCCUGAGGGGGUGACCGGCCACAUUGGGACUGAGAGACGGCCCAGACUCCUACGGGAGGGAGGAGGGGGGAAUAUUGCACAAUGGGCGGAAGCCUGAUGCAGCAACGCCGCGUGCGGGAUGACGGCCUUCGGGUGGGAAACCGCUUUCGCCUGUGACGAAGCGUGAGUGACGGUAAUGGGUAAAGAAGCACCGGCUAACUACGU
This 467-nucleotide ribosomal RNA is filed under the name uncultured bacterium. RNAcentral describes it as "partial 16S ribosomal RNA". It matches the Rfam family "Bacterial small subunit ribosomal RNA", at positions 28 to 506 of the family's 1533-position model. The record is from RNAcentral.